This 451-nucleotide ribosomal RNA is filed under the name uncultured bacterium. RNAcentral's name for it is "bacterial SSU rRNA". It matches the Rfam family "Bacterial small subunit ribosomal RNA", at positions 377 to 819 of the family's 1533-position model. The record is from RNAcentral.
GAAAGUCUGACGCACAAACGCCGCGUGGGUGAUGAAGGCCUUCGGGUCGUAAAGCCCUGUUGAGGGAGAGAAAAGCUACUGUCGGUUAAUACCCGGCAGUGGUGAUAGUAUCCCUAGAGAAAGCACCGGCUAACUACGUGCCAGCAGCCGCGGUAAUACGUAGGGUGCAAGCGUUGCUCGGAAUUACUGGGAGUAAAGGGACAGCAGGCGGUUUUGUAUGUCGCAGGUGAAAUACUCCGGCUUAACUGGAGAAACGCGGCAGAAACUGCAGGACUAGAGGACAGGAGAGGUGGGAGGAAUUCCCGUAGUAGCGGUGAAAUGCGUAAUUAUCGGGAGGAACAGCGAAGGCGAAGCUAAUCCACUGGACUGUUCACGAUGAUCAUGCUCAAACGCUAGGGGAUCAAACGGGAUAUAAUACCCCGGUCGUCCUAGCCGUAAACUACGGUACUAG